RNAcentral lists this small RNA (103 nucleotides) under Marmota monax (woodchuck). Lineage: Eukaryota; Metazoa; Chordata; Mammalia; Rodentia; Sciuridae. The record is from RNAcentral.
GCCAGGCGUGGUGGUGCACGCCUGUAAUCCCAGGUACUUGGGAGGCUGAGGCAGGAGGAUUGAAAGUUUGCCCAGCCUGGGCAACUUAGUGAAACUGUCUCAA